AGUGCCUGUGACAGGUUGCAGAAAAAUGAAACAGGAUGGGGCCCAGCCCACGGGCGCCACAACUGUGUCAAAUGCAAACCCCCCACCACCACCACCACCAUGAGAGAUGUUGGAGUGGUCACUCUCUCUUUCCCAAGAUGCCUCCGCUUAGGAGACCCCAAGGCUCCAAGAGUACCUCUUCUACCCCAGUUCCGGCACCCCAGUCCACAGCCUCUGCUGCCAGCAGUCAGUGUCUCCCCCCUCCCAGCUGCCUCUGCCUGGCUGGCUCCCAUCCCCCCACAGAAUAGAGCGGAGAGUUCUGGCAUCCAUGGAGAUGGAGAAAUGCAAAAGAUGCUCCAGAUGACAGUUGGCCAGCUUCAGCCUUCCAGUACAGAAGCAGAGAUGGCCUCCUGGCUCAAGGCACUAGCUGUGGCCAUUCAAAGGCCCAUCUUGUUGGUCUUCCACGACGUGUGCAGAACCAUUUGGGGUUCACCAAGGCGGAGGCAGGGAAUCCCAGAUGCUGUUGACGACAACUCCCAGAAUCCCCAAGCAGAAGCCAUUGCAGCGAGGGAGGGAGCUGAAGUUCCACAAGCAGGCUGAUGAGAAGCCAAGAAAUCUGUAGGUAUGGAGACGACGCCAAGGAGCAUUCGUGGAAGUGCCCAACCCGGAUGCCAAGUCCAGUUGCCGGCACGUAAGUUGAAGGUCCAAAAGCCUAAUUGCUCCCCAGGACUGCGUACCUCUCACCGCCGUAGGUGGCAGAAAAAGGACCUUGCAAAAUAACCCCCACAGGGAUGGUGCUGUGGGCGCGUCAGCUUGCCCGACCGAAUAUUGAUCGUGUGGGAGGUGGCUGCCAUGCAGCAGAGGACAAGACUGCCACCCUGUCCUAGCCCGGCGCCAGCAACAUCCCCGCCCAGCAACGAGGCCUACCCGACCCGACCCUACUUUGUGGGUGUGGUCGGAAAACGAUGCUAUCCCACCUGUGGCCCAAUCCAACCACCAAGGGGCUUUGGGAGAAGGCAAGGUUCCAAGUAGUCUUGAGAUUCCGUAAGCUGAAUGAGGAUCAAACGGAGGGACAUCUGGCCAUCUAGGACCAUCAAUAUUACUCUAUUAUUUAUUAUUGUUGUUUUUCUUUUUGUUGUUAUUGAAUAAAGUCAGUUAUUUAAAAACAUCUCCUUCCAGUAUCUGUCUCCCUUGAGGCUUGACAGUACACUAUGUCACUAGGGCCAUUAGAAAGAUUCUCCCGAUGGAAUGACACAAGGUAGGCCAUCUAGUUUGGAGUUGGCGGGAGCAGGCAGGCAGGACCAUCCCUGGCGGGGGGUAUGGGCCUGUGGGCAAUUUGGAGUGAGUGGGGCCUCCUUCUCUGGCUUUUGCUGCGCCCUGGGCAAAGGCAAUUUUCCUGAGCCUCACCAAUUCCUCACCAAUGGCAGACUACCACCCCACUCCAUUUUACAAAUCCGUUAUUUAUUCAUUUUUAAUAUCCAAAUGUGCCAUUUAUAGGUAAAGAAAUAUGCUAUUUAAUGGUGAAGGUGAAGAUACCAGAUAAGAUUGGUGAAGACACCCAAAUCAAACUCAUCCUGAGGAACACUGCUGAGUGCAAUUUCAUCAGCACUAAAUUCUACAUUUGACCCUACAAGACUGGUACUAGGGCUUAAGGCUUUCAUGGUCAACAUUUACAUUCUGAGAGAAGUACAUAAAAUGUACAUAAGAUUAUUUUAAUAAUUGGUUUUAAUAAUUGUUUUAUGCUACUCUUUUGAUUUCUGUUUUAUGCUACGGUUUUAAUUGUUUUGUGUAUUUUCACCUAUGCUGAUUUCUAAAUAUUGUGUUGAAUUUUGUACACUGCCUAGAGAUGUACAUAUCAGGCAGUAUAGAAAUAGGAUAAAUAAAUAAACAACACCCAAAUGACUCCUUUUGAUUUAGAAGACUAGAACAGUCUGGCCAUAUUGAAACAACCGCUCAUGUCCUGUUGUAUUGUGAUUAUUACAGAGAAGUAAGAUGUAAAUUAAUAGCCCUGCUUUUGAAUAAUUUCCCUGGUCAUCAAGAUGAAUUUUAUUUAAAUUACUUGCUUACCAAUCCAAAUUCAGAUGUUGUAUAUACGGUGCCUAGCUAUGUAAUAUGUCAAAUGAGGACUCACGUGGUAUAAUGAACUUUUAUUGCUGUUUUUAUCUUAUUUUUUAUCUGUUUUUAUCUUAUUGAACUGGUCUAUGACCGAAAUAAAUAAAUUGAAUGAUU
Molecule: long non-coding RNA, 2208 nt
Organism: Hemicordylus capensis (graceful crag lizard)
Lineage: Eukaryota; Metazoa; Chordata; Lepidosauria; Squamata; Cordylidae
Exons: 8
Source: RefSeq, a predicted model, not a curated record